GAGACCCACGCCCACAGUUGCCAGCGUACUCUCCGGAGUGACGGGUACACUGUGGGGACCGCCGCUGCUAAAGCGGAGGAAGGAAUGGGCAACGGUAGGUCAGUAUGCCCCGAAUGUCCCGGGCUACACGCGAGCUACAAUGGUUGGUACAAUGGGUAUCUACCCCGAAAGGGGAUGGAAAUCUCCUAAAGCCAAUCUUAGUUCGGAUUGAGGGCUGCAACUCGCCCUCAUGAAGCUGGAAUCCGUAGUAAUCGCGUUUCAACAGAACGCGGUGAAUAC
This 279-nucleotide ribosomal RNA is filed under the name uncultured methanogenic archaeon. RNAcentral's name for it is "partial 16S rRNA". It matches the Rfam family "Archaeal small subunit ribosomal RNA", at positions 1047 to 1325 of the family's 1478-position model. The record is from RNAcentral. Lineage: Archaea; Methanobacteriati; Methanobacteriota.